Molecule: ribosomal RNA, 230 nt
Filed under: uncultured bacterium
Lineage: Bacteria
Description: partial 16S ribosomal RNA
Rfam family: Bacterial small subunit ribosomal RNA
Source: RNAcentral
CAAUGGGCGCAAGCCUGAUGCAGCAACGCCGCGUGCGGGACGAAGGCCUUCGGGUCGUAAACCGCUUUUCUGGGGAAAGAGCAAGGACGGUACCUCAGGAAUAAGUCUCGGCUAACUACGUGCCAGCAGCCGCGGCAAAACGCAGGAGGCGAGCGUUAUCCGGAUUUAUUGGGCGUAAAGCGCACGCAGGCGGCGCUGUGAGUCGGACGUGAAAGCUCCCGGCUUAACCG